GGGUGAAGUAACGCGUGGGAAUCUACCGUACCCUACGGAAUAACGCAUGGAAACGUGUGCUAAUACCGUAUACGCCCUUCGGGGGAAAGAUUUAUCGGGGUAUGAUGAGCCCGCGUUGGAUUAGCUAGUUGGUGGGGUAAAGGCCUACCAAGGCGACGAUCCAUAGCUGGUCUGAGAGGAUGAUCAGCCACAUUGGGACUGAGACACGGCCCAAACUCCUACGGGAGGCAGCAGUGGGGAAUAUUGGACAAUGGGCGCAAGCCUGAUCCAGCCAUGCCGCGUGAGUGAUGAAGGUCUUAGGAUUGUAAAGCUCUUUCACCGAUGAAGAUAAUGACGGUAUCCGGAGAAGAAGCCCCGGCUAACUUCGUGCC
This 371-nucleotide ribosomal RNA is filed under the name uncultured bacterium. Its description in RNAcentral is "bacterial SSU rRNA". It matches the Rfam family "Bacterial small subunit ribosomal RNA", at positions 100 to 509 of the family's 1533-position model. The record is from RNAcentral.